CAGGAUCGGAAGACAAGCUGCUCCCCGAGAAAGAAGAGAGGCCAGAGGAGUGGGAGCUUCUCAAGGCACCAUGGGAAAAUGACUAACAGCUUAUUCGAGAAUCUGAAAAUCUAUUCUUUCUCUUUUAAGUCUUGCAAAAUGAAUGACGCUGAAAAAACCUGAGAGACCAUCAAGCGUGGUUUGACGAUCGGUGCUAGGUCCGCGCCCAGGAUCCGAACCUGAGAACCCCAGGCUGCUGGAGUGGAGCAUGCAAACUUAACCACUGUGCCGCCUGGCCAGCCCCUGACACUCUCUUGAAAAGACAGGAAUUAGAGCCAUCCCCUCCAUACCACCUACUUCCCCUCCCUCAGAACCCGCCACUUCUUCCCCUGGACUUCUCACCUGGCCACCCCAUCCCACCCCUGGGUUUAAUGAAUACAGAAGUUCUAAACCAUCCCUCUUUCACACUGUAUCUGUUCAAAGCUUGGAACAAUGAAAAAAAUGAAAAUGCCCAAAGUCACGGGCAGCGUCUCCUGGGAGUGAUGGGCUGGCAGCUGAGCCUCUCGUUCUGAUUUCCUCGGCCUUUUCCCCUAAGGGUUAGCAGCACACAUUCUUCCCACUGCGGACACGUUAGAUGAAGAACAAGAACCAGGACCGAGUUUUUCCUCCACUGGAGCUGGGAAUCUGAGGGAGCCCAUGCUUCCCCAGGUGACCCAUCCUUCAUGACUCCUAACUCCUCCCUAGUCUAGAGUCCCUCAGAUGGGACCAUCUCUCCCUUUUUUGUUCACACCUCCACCUUCUCCUGUGUAUGAUUCUUUUGCUAGAAUGUAAGCUCCUUGAAAGGUCCUAAAGGUUUAUGUAUGUAUCACCAC
This 851-nucleotide long non-coding RNA is filed under the name Equus caballus (horse). RNAcentral describes it as "lncRNA (ENSECAG00000060282.1)". The record is from RNAcentral. Lineage: Eukaryota; Metazoa; Chordata; Mammalia; Perissodactyla; Equidae.